GCAGAUAGCAGCCGAAGCAGAGAGCACACAGGUAGCAGCCGAAGCAGAGAGCACAGCUCGCCGUGUCAACAAUGCGCGAAUGGCUCUUUUGAUUCCAAACUCACGUCACAAUGACGCGUUACCUGCAAGUCAGCAAGUGAUUAGUAUUAUAUGUUGAGUGAUAAUUCGAGGCACGGUGACAGUUGUUUUUGAAUGAUGGCGUAGCUUUAGGCUUAUGGUCAGCAUCUUGCUUUUGCAUUUGAAUUGAAUUCACCAUGAACUAUUCAUAAAGUGUUUUGUAUGAUAUUUUUUUAAAUAAUAAUUGACAUUUUUUCAAAUUUUGUGUGCCCACGGGCUAUUACCUAGUUGGAUUUAUAAAUGUAAAUAAAAAAAUCAUUAUAUAUUAGUAUACAUAAAAAUAGAUGUAUCUAUAAAUCGUC
Molecule: long non-coding RNA, 419 nt
Filed under: Setaria italica (foxtail millet)
Lineage: Eukaryota; Viridiplantae; Streptophyta; Magnoliopsida; Poales; Poaceae
Description: long non-coding RNA (SITA_LNC005817)
Source: RNAcentral